MicroRNA precursor from Medicago truncatula (barrel medic), 168 nucleotides. It matches the Rfam family "MIR2680 microRNA precursor family". The record is from Rfam. NCBI's taxonomy places the organism in Eukaryota, Viridiplantae, Streptophyta, Magnoliopsida, Fabales, Fabaceae.
UUAGGAUCUAGACCUGGCAUAUCUUCAUACGACCAUGCAAAAAUGUCUGGAUACUCUCGGAGAAGUUGAAAGAUCUUCUUCUUAACCCCUUCCUCUAGAGUGGCACCAACCUUGAUUUCUCGCUUGUUCUCUUCAGUACCUAUGUUGAUAAGUUCAAUCUCUUCCUGG